RNAcentral lists this long non-coding RNA (447 nucleotides) under Rattus norvegicus (Norway rat). RNAcentral describes it as "long non-coding RNA NONRATT032183". The record is from RNAcentral. Lineage: Eukaryota; Metazoa; Chordata; Mammalia; Rodentia; Muridae.
CUAGGAUUGGUUGUCCACUCAUAACCAUAAGAUAAUUAAAACAAGGGGGGGCAGGGUUAAAAAAAACUUUUACCAGCCAUAGGUUAAUGCAAGUGUUUAACAGAUGCUUCGCUAUUAAAAUAUUUCCCCCCAAUACUGAAGAAUCUCAAACCAGCAACCCUAACGGAGAUUGUGAAGGUUUUCAAAGUGGGGCACCUCGAUUUCUCGAAUCUGUGGUGUGGCGAAUAUCCGUGUUCUUCCGGCUUAACUAGCCUGUUUGAAAGAAAAUGCAAGGGGAAAUAUCUGAUACGGCUCUGUUAUUUGAUGCUUUGGGCAGCACUAUGCUCAGAAGUCAUUCAACUUCCUGCCAUCUCCCUAACUUGUAUUCUCUGGCAAAAUGAAGGUAAGCGGGACAUUAUUUCCAUAUCUUACUUUAGUCUAUUUACCUAUGGUGGAGUCAUUUGUUAA